CCGAGUCCAGCAGAUGGCACUAUUUCCCCUUUCUCUAGUACAGUGGAACCCGCUUAAUGGGCACCACACACAUGAGGCGACAAACUAUAGGCGAUUGGCGAAACUCGGAGCAAACCAUGCACACGGGAGGCGACGAGCUACACUGCAAUGACUGCAGCUGUCUUUCAAGUGGCCUAUGGGAAUGCGGUGAUUGAAUUCUUUUUUGCUGACUCUUCUACCUUGCUAAAAACAUGAGUUGUAAAACAAAAACAAUUCGGAUUUGUGCUGUUGAUUGUGCUAAUUUAUGACACUGAAACAUCCUUUUUUUGUGUGAAUAUAUUAUUUUAUUUAUCUUAACCAACAAUCUCUCCAAUGCAUUUGAGGACACAACACUUGCCACUUACACAACAAAAAACAAAGAUAAAAUAAAUCACAUUACCAAACCAUAUUGGGCGUUCAUUUCUACACAACAUAACGUAACUUCAUCCAGCAUUUGAAACAUUGAAAAAAAUAAAUCAAA
Molecule: non-coding RNA, 499 nt
Organism: Doryrhamphus excisus (bluestripe pipefish)
Lineage: Eukaryota; Metazoa; Chordata; Actinopteri; Syngnathiformes; Syngnathidae
Source: RefSeq, a predicted model, not a curated record